RNAcentral lists this ribosomal RNA (600 nucleotides) under Shimia biformata. RNAcentral's name for it is "bacterial SSU rRNA". It matches the Rfam family "Bacterial small subunit ribosomal RNA", at positions 97 to 732 of the family's 1533-position model. Lineage: Bacteria; Pseudomonadati; Pseudomonadota; Alphaproteobacteria; Rhodobacterales; Roseobacteraceae. The record is from RNAcentral.
GGCGGACGGGUUAGUAACGCGUGGGAACGUGCCCAGAUCUAAGGAAUAGCCACUGGAAACGGUGAGUAAUACCUUAUACGCCCUUCGGGGGAAAGAUUUAUCGGAUUUGGAUCGGCCCGCGUUAGAUUAGAUAGUUGGUGGGGUAAUGGCCUACCAAGUCUACGAUCUAUAGCUGGUUUUAGAGGAUGAUCAGCAACACUGGGACUGAGACACGGCCCAGACUCCUACGGGAGGCAGCAGUGGGGAAUCUUGGACAAUGGGCGCAAGCCUGAUCCAGCCAUGCCGCGUGAGUGAUGAAGGCCUUAGGGUCGUAAAGCUCUUUCGCCAGAGAUGAUAAUGACAGUAUCUGGUAAAGAAACCCCGGCUAACUCCGUGCCAGCAGCCGCGGUAAUACGGAGGGGGUUAGCGUUGUUCGGAAUUACUGGGCGUAAAGCGCGCGUAGGCGGACUAUUAAGUCAGGGGUGAAAUCCCGGGGCUCAACCCCGGAACUGCCUUUGAUACUGGUAGUCUAGAGUUCGAGAGAGGUGAGUGGAAUUCCGAGUGUAGAGGUGAAAUUCGUAGAUAUUCGGAGGAACACCAGUGGCGAAGGCGGCUCACUGG